AGUGAGCGCUGGCGGUAGGCCUAACACAUGCAAGUCGAACGGCAGCACAGUAAGAGCUUGCUCUUACGGGUGGCGAGUGGCGGACGGGUGAGGAAUACAUCGGAAUCUACUUUUUCGUGGGGGAUAACGUAGGGAAACUUACGCUAAUACCGCAUACGACCUACGGGUGAAAGCAGGGGAUCUUCGGACCUUGCGCGAUUGAAUGAGCCGAUGUCGGAUUAGCUAGUUGGCGGGGUAAAGGCCCACCAAGGCGACGAUCCGUGGCUGGUCUGAGAGGAUGAUCAGCCACACUGGAACUGAGACACGGUCCAGACUCCUACGGGAGGCAGCAGUGGGGAAUAUUGGACAAUGGGCGCAAGCCUGAUCCAGCCAUACCGCGUGGGUGAAGAAGGCCUUCGGGUUGUAAAGCCCUUUUGUUGGGAAAGAAAAGCAGCAGGUUAAUACCCCGCUGUUCUGACGGUACCCAAAGAAUAAGCACCGGCUAACUUCGUG
Molecule: ribosomal RNA, 492 nt
Filed under: uncultured bacterium
Lineage: Bacteria
Description: partial 16S ribosomal RNA
Rfam family: Bacterial small subunit ribosomal RNA
Source: RNAcentral